This 98-nucleotide transfer RNA is filed under the name Streptomyces camponoticapitis. RNAcentral's name for it is "tRNA-Thr". Lineage: Bacteria; Bacillati; Actinomycetota; Actinomycetes; Kitasatosporales; Streptomycetaceae. The record is from RNAcentral.
GGCGGAGGUGGCUACGGGAGCGGUGGCGGCGGUGGCGGUGCCCCCGGCGGCUACGGCGGCGGGGACGGGGGCGGCGGUUCCAGACCUCCCGCCCCCGC